This 423-nucleotide ribosomal RNA is filed under the name uncultured bacterium. RNAcentral describes it as "bacterial SSU rRNA". It matches the Rfam family "Bacterial small subunit ribosomal RNA", at positions 355 to 776 of the family's 1533-position model. The record is from RNAcentral.
UGAGGAAUAUUGGUCAAUGGGCGAGAGCCUGAACCAGCCAAGUCGCGUGAGGGAUGAAUGGUCUAUGGCCUGUAAACCUCUUUUGUCAAGGAAGAAUAAAUCGCACGGGUGCGAUCUUGCCAGUACUUGACGAAUAAGCAUCGGCUAACUCCGUGCCAGCAGCCGCGGUAAUACGGGGGAUGCGAGCGUUAUCCGGAUUUAUUGGGUUUAAAGGGCGCGUAGGCGGGACGUCAAGUCAGCGGUAAAAGACUGCAGCUAAACUGUAGCACGCCGUUGAAACUGGCGCCCUCGAGACGAGACGAGGGAGGCGGAACAAGUGAAGUAGCGGUGAAAUGCAUAGAUAUCACUUGGAACCCCGAUAGCGAAGGCAGCUUCCCAGGCUCGAUCUGACGCUGAUGCGCGAGAGCGUGGGUAGCGAACAGG